This 73-nucleotide transfer RNA is filed under the name Holtiella tumoricola. It matches the Rfam family "tRNA". Rfam says of the family: Transfer RNA (tRNA) molecules are approximately 80 nucleotides in length. Their secondary structure includes four short double-helical elements and three loops (D, anti-codon, and T loops). Lineage: Bacteria; Bacillati; Bacillota; Clostridia; Lachnospirales; Cellulosilyticaceae. The record is from Rfam by way of RNAcentral.
GGUCGCUUAGCUCAGCUGGGAGAGCACCUGCCUUACAAGCAGGGGGUCAUAGGUUCAAGCCCUAUAGCGACCA